This is a long non-coding RNA of Suricata suricatta (meerkat), 1423 nucleotides long. RefSeq lists it as uncharacterized. Lineage: Eukaryota; Metazoa; Chordata; Mammalia; Carnivora; Herpestidae. The transcript is spliced from 2 exons. The record is from RefSeq and is a predicted model, not a curated record.
UCCACCGAGACCCGCACGCUUCAAGGCGCCAGUCUUGCAACGACUGUCCAGAAGUCCAGUGCCUUCUCCGGACACCGCGAGCGGUCUCCCGGACUCCGGUUGACAAGCAGGUUCCCAGACUUGCUUCCCUGAGAGUCAGCCAAUCGGUUCAGGGAGAUGCGUGGCGAUUUCCUUUAUUAGGGAGGCGAUGGCUGUGACCGACGAGGAUCGCAGGUUUGGGAAAGAAAUGGCCCCAAAGCCCAGAGAGCUUAGACCCCUUGGGUCUAUGGAGUCCAGGACCCGCACUGGAGCUUUGCUGCUGCACGGCUACCGGAAGUGGCGCUUGUUUCCCUGGGGUGGAGCUGAGGCCAGACCCCAGGUCUUCGAGCCACGGGCACGGAUACCCUGGAUAACUAACUUGCCCUCCGCGAGGCUGCGGUGAAAGACGUUCUGAGGGUGUUGUAGCAAGGACUGUGCUGGGGUAGGGCCCCUCCUGCCGUCUCCUAAGAAGGCCCCGGCGAGGACACUGCUGCUCUGGGGACUGCCAAACCGCAGCAAAUCAGACCCUCCCAGCAGCUCUGCAAAGCAGACCCUGCGAUUUCAAAACAGGGAGGCUGAAAGAACAUUCUAGCACCCACCUGUGGUCUCUCCCAUUUCAGGCUAGGCCACAUCUAAUCCUGCCAAGGAGAUGAAUUGCUAGUAUCAUUGGAAGACGACCCCCUGCCCAGUGAGAAUUUUAGAUGUCUAGAGUCCCUGUGGAGGAACUGAUGUGGUCAAAAGCAGAUAUACUGGGUCAGGCUGACCUGAAAGCGGCUUUACGGGGUUACAUGGGGAAGUGAAAGCUGGUGCGCACACCUGACUAUACGCAGCACCAGCCUGCAGAGCUAGCUUCCGGCAUGACCUUGUAACUGAUCGCCACUGACUGACUCCAGGCUGGAGUCCCUAUUCCUGAAGCUGCCUUCAAGAGCUGGCAGGUGCGGUCCACGGUUCCAAGCAUGGUGGCCCAAGUAUCCUCCGUCCUCACUCCUCCCGACACUGCUCGAGGCUCACGCUCGGUCUACACAAGGAGGUGCAGCACAAGGCUGCAAACUCAAAGUCGCUCUCAACCUGGGUCAAGAGCUGAAUUUCCAUCCCUUCGUCUUGCCGGCAGUGUGAUUCUGAGUACUCCCUGGACCAGACUCCUUUUGCAGCGAGGCCGGUGCCAAGGGGGUGGCUACUUGUGUUCCCAGGAAGCACACAGAGCAGGAAGUGUGCAAGCAGGAGCAGAGGCAGCUGGGAUUUCUGUGAGGCUAAGCCCUAUUGUCAGGGUCAUGGACUUAGAGAUACCCACUGCCUCUAUUGUCAGGGUCAUGGACUUAGAGAUACCCACUGCCUUUGACUUUGUUACAUCAACAGUUUCCCUUUUAAAAAUAAAAUGUACAUAGCAUAAAAUUUAUCAUUUUAA